UAGAAGAUCUGGCAGGGGAGAUACCAUGAUCACGAAGGUGGUUUUCCCAGGGCGAGGCUUAUCCAUUGCACUCCGGAUGUGCUGACCCCUGCGAUUUCCCCAAAUGUGGGAAACUCGACUGCAUAAUUUGUGGUAGUGGGGGACUGCGUUCGCGCUCUCCCCUG
This 164-nucleotide small nuclear RNA is filed under the name Erinaceus europaeus (western European hedgehog). RNAcentral's name for it is "U1 spliceosomal RNA". It matches the Rfam family "U1 spliceosomal RNA". From Rfam's summary of the family: U1 is a small nuclear RNA (snRNA) component of the spliceosome (involved in pre-mRNA splicing). Its 5' end forms complementary base pairs with the 5' splice junction, thus defining the 5' donor site of an intron. The record is from Rfam by way of RNAcentral. Lineage: Eukaryota; Metazoa; Chordata; Mammalia; Eulipotyphla; Erinaceidae.